UACGUAGGUGGCAAGCGUUAUCCGGAAUUAUUGGGCGUAAAGAGCGCGCAGGUGGUUAAUUAAGUCUGAUGUGAAAGCCCACGGCUUAACCGUGGAGGGUCAUUGGAAACUGGUUGACUUGAGUGCAGAAGAGGGAGGUGGAAUUCCAUGUGUAGCGGUGAAAUGCGUAGAGAUAUGGAGGAACACCAGUGGCGAAGGCGGCUUCCUGGUCUGCAACUGACACUGAGGCGCGAAAGCGUGGGGAGCAAACAGG
This 253-nucleotide ribosomal RNA is filed under the name uncultured bacterium. RNAcentral's name for it is "partial 16S ribosomal RNA". It matches the Rfam family "Bacterial small subunit ribosomal RNA", at positions 524 to 776 of the family's 1533-position model. The record is from RNAcentral.